GGAAGAGUGGCAGAGUGGUCAAAUGCACCGGUUUUGAAAACCGACGAGCCUUCGGGCUCCCAGGGUUCGAAUCCCUGUUCUUCCGCCA
This 88-nucleotide transfer RNA is filed under the name Sulfitobacter litoralis. RNAcentral's name for it is "tRNA-Ser". It matches the Rfam family "tRNA". Rfam says of the family: Transfer RNA (tRNA) molecules are approximately 80 nucleotides in length. RNAcentral also lists the same sequence under 1 other name. Lineage: Bacteria; Pseudomonadati; Pseudomonadota; Alphaproteobacteria; Rhodobacterales; Roseobacteraceae. The record is from RNAcentral.